Molecule: unclassified non-coding RNA, 436 nt
Filed under: Hevea brasiliensis (rubber tree)
Lineage: Eukaryota; Viridiplantae; Streptophyta; Magnoliopsida; Malpighiales; Euphorbiaceae
Source: RNAcentral
AAAGAUCACUUUGUUAGCCUUCUGGUAAUUAAGAAAAAAAAAGUAGAAAAUUCUUGAGACUUCUUUUCAAUCAAGUCAAUAACAUGAAGACUAUCAAAUUCUAAUUAUUUAAAUCAAAGAAAGAAUGAAAAGAAUCCAGCCAAGUGGACCAUGGAAUGAAAACAGAUGCAUGAGGUUCUUUGGCCAUAAGAAUAUUUCAUAUGAUACACAUAUAUUGGACAAAAGUGACACAGCAAAUGGAACAAAUAUGCGGAUGCAAGAGAUUUAGAUCCAGUAAAUUUUCCUGAAUUCAAAUUUGGGUUUCGUGAACAACAAAUGUUUUAUGCAAUAGAAAAUGAAAAAGAAAAACUAAGCUCACACAGAAAAAAAUAAAUAAAUAAAUAGAACGAUUAAAGAGAAAGGCAUCAACUUACAGAAGCUGUAGAUGUUUUUUCUU